This 253-nucleotide ribosomal RNA is filed under the name uncultured bacterium. Its description in RNAcentral is "partial 16S ribosomal RNA". It matches the Rfam family "Bacterial small subunit ribosomal RNA", at positions 524 to 776 of the family's 1533-position model. The record is from RNAcentral.
UACGUAGGGUCCGAGCGUUGUCCGGAAUUACUGGGCGUAAAGCGUGCGUAGGCGGUCCGCAAAGUCUGAUGUGAAAGCCCCGGGCUCAACCUGGGAACUGCAUUGGAAACUAACGGGCUUGAGUGUGGCAGAGGGGGGUGGAAUUCCACGUGUAGCAGUGAAAUGCGUAGAUAUCUGGAGGAACACCGGUGGCGAAGGCGGCAUCCUGGACCGACACUGACGCUGAGGAGCGAAAGCCAGGGGAGCAAACGGG